CAAAAAUCAAUGUUCUGGGAGAACGGGAAGCAGCUCCAUUUUUUGGGGGUCCUUACACAGCUCAAGGUCUGGGUCCCAGGGUCCACCUUCAUGUUCCACCGAUGAGUUUGUUCACAGGGGGUGGAGUGUGUAGGGGAUGUCCUGAUAUGUGUGUAAGGAAUGCAUUGCGUGAAAUUGUGUUUGUAUGUGUAAGGACUGCAAGGUGUGUUUCUGUGUAUGUAUGGGAUGCAUUGAAUGUGUGUAAGGGGUGCAUUGAGUGUGUGUAAUGAAUGCAUUGUGUGUUUCUGUGUGUGUAAGGGAUGCAUUGUGUAUAACGGUUGUAUUGCUUGUGUAUGUGUGUCUGUGUGUAAUGCAUUGUGUGUUUUUCUGUGUGCAAGGGGUGCAUUGUGUGUAUGUGAUGAAUGUCAAUCUCUCCUCCCGCUCCAAUUUCCUUCUCC
Molecule: non-coding RNA, 437 nt
Organism: Pelobates cultripes (western spadefoot toad)
Lineage: Eukaryota; Metazoa; Chordata; Amphibia; Anura; Pelobatidae
Source: the annotation of a GenBank genome assembly